UUAGGAUGCAUGACAUGGGGACCUAUUGUAGACUAGGGGAAGGGGUGAAUAUUGUGACAAUGUGUUUCAGUCUGACGUUUGAGCAGAGCCUGGGUAAGAGGGUAGGAGUGGUGAAUGGGAGAAGAACAUUCUAGAUGGAAGGAACUGUGAGUGGCCAGGCCCUGAGGACGGAAGGCCAUUGGCAAGUUCCCAGAGGCCCAAAUGCCUGGGGAGUGGUGAGCAGAAAGGAAGGUGGCAGAGACAAAGCUGGAACAGCAGAUGGGCAGACCUUCGUUACCCUCAUGCCCGGCUCACCUCACUAUGGCUGUCUGGAACACACGCCCCUGUAAACUGUCAAUGAGACCCCCCUGGCCUUGUCAUCUUUGAGUUGGGGCAGAUAUUUGAACAAAAAGUUGCUGGCAACUGUUUCCCUUUGCCUGAGGGCAUUCUCUGGCCCAUGGAGUCUGCUCUGCCUGGGCAUGCAACAGCCUCAGAGUACUGGGAAGAUGCUGCCAUGAAGGAGCGUCCUCAGUGAGACCCAGAGGAAUUCUCUCAUCCAUGGAUGGGACGGCAGUGAGGUGCACAUUCCAGAGGAUCUCUUACAGUUUCCUAAGGCCAUAAGACUGUAGCCAUUCAAGGGCAAAUUACUUCAUAAAGCACCUUUUAUCAUCUUCCUUCCCUUCCUUUUCUCACUUCCCCUUUCUCUCAUAGUAUCUCCUGGGUUCACCUUCCAAAUAAACUCUGAGGACUCAAAUCUUUAUCUCAGGGUCUGC
This is a long non-coding RNA of Panthera uncia (snow leopard), 752 nucleotides long. RefSeq lists it as uncharacterized. NCBI's taxonomy places the organism in Eukaryota, Metazoa, Chordata, Mammalia, Carnivora, Felidae. The transcript has 3 exons. The record is from RefSeq and is a predicted model, not a curated record.